UACAGAGGUCUCAAGCGUUGUUCGGAUUCAUUGGGCGUAAAGGGUGCGUAGGUGGCGCGGUAAGUCGGGUGUGAAAUCUCGGAGCUUAACUCCGAAAUUGCAUUCGAUACUGCCGUGCUCGAGGACUGGAGAGGAGACUGGAAUUCAUGGUGUAGCAGUGGAAUGCGUAGAGAUCAUGAGGAAGACCAGUGGCGAAGGCGGGUCUCUGGACAGUUCCUGACACUGAGGCGCGAAAGCUAGGGGAGCAAACAGG
RNAcentral lists this ribosomal RNA (253 nucleotides) under uncultured bacterium. RNAcentral's name for it is "partial 16S ribosomal RNA". It matches the Rfam family "Bacterial small subunit ribosomal RNA", at positions 524 to 776 of the family's 1533-position model. The record is from RNAcentral.